UACAGAGGUCCCAAGCGUUGUUCGGAUUCACUGGGCGUAAAGGGUGCGUAGGCGGCGGGGUAAGUCGGAUGUGAAAUCCCGGGGCUCAACCCCGGAACUGCAUUCGAUACUGCCUUGCUAGAGUACUGGAGAGGAGACUGGAAUUUACGGUGUAGCAGUGAAAUGCGUAGAUAUCGUAAGGAAGACCAGUGGCGAAGGCGAAUCUCUGGACAGUUACUGACACUGAGGCACGAAGGCCAGGGGAGCAAACGGG
This 253-nucleotide ribosomal RNA is filed under the name uncultured bacterium. Its description in RNAcentral is "partial 16S ribosomal RNA". It matches the Rfam family "Bacterial small subunit ribosomal RNA", at positions 524 to 776 of the family's 1533-position model. The record is from RNAcentral.